GACGAACGCUGGCGGCGUGCUUAACACAUGCCAGUCGAACGGAAAGGCCCUGCUUUUGUGGGGUGCUCGAGUGGCGAACGGGUGAGUAACACGUGAGUAACCUGCCCUUGACUUUGGGAUAACUUCAGGAAACUGGGGCUAAUACCGGAUAGGAGCUCCUGCUGCAUGGUGGGGGUUGGAAAGUUUCGGCGGUUGGGGAUGGACUCGCGGCUUAUCAGCUUGUUGGUGGGGUAGUGGCUUACCAAGGCUUUGACGGGUAGCCGGCCUGAGAGGGUGACCGGCUACAUUGGGACUGAGAUACGGCCCAGACCCCUACGGGAGGCAGCAGUGGGGAAUAUUGCACAAUGGGCGGAAGCCUGAUGCAGCAACGCCGCGUGCGGGAUGACGGCCUUCGGGUUGUAAACCGCUUUCGCCUGUGACGAAGCGUGAGUGACGGUAAUGGGUAAAGAAGCACCGGCUAACUACGUG
This 468-nucleotide ribosomal RNA is filed under the name uncultured bacterium. RNAcentral describes it as "partial 16S ribosomal RNA". It matches the Rfam family "Bacterial small subunit ribosomal RNA", at positions 28 to 507 of the family's 1533-position model. The record is from RNAcentral.